UAUUAUUCUGUAUCUAUUAUUUCUACAUCUGAGUCUGUACUCGAUUCUGAUAUGUCUAUCAGCGCGAUCGAGUCCUUAAAAAGUUCGUGGACCCAUCCGGGCACGUCUUUAUGUAAAGGAGUCUUAGCUAACAAUCUACUAUAAGCUACUUUUAUGGAUUUUUCCAUAAGAUCUACAAUUUUUUUUUGUAAAUUUGUAGUUGUGGGCUAUCCAAUACCUUAUUUCCUUGUAUUUGUGAUUUGUUUCGCCUGAUUGUAUCAGGAAAUCGAGGAAAGGCCUAUUAAUAUGGAUGUACGUAUAUAAAAAAAAUCAUGGAGGCUUACUGCCUCGGUUCCUCCAUUCGGUAGAAACGAUAUGUGCCUGCUGCGUUGGAAAAGCAACAUACAUAUGGUACUGUGAGGAUGAAACUCAUCUGUACCCUAGUGCUUCCUUGAACUGGGAAUUCUUCUCCCGUUAUAUUUAGCGUUUAUUUUUCCAAAAUAAUUAUCAAGAGUGGCCAUUGUUUUCCAGAAUUAUUAUUAUUUUUUUUUUUUAUUGUUAUUCGCGUGUGUGCAUAUGUAUUCUUAGACCUUAUCUAGGUCAUUAGCUUGGCUUAUGGCUCUUUUGGUUACACAUUUAUUGUGUAA
Molecule: long non-coding RNA, 626 nt
Organism: Drosophila willistoni
Lineage: Eukaryota; Metazoa; Arthropoda; Insecta; Diptera; Drosophilidae
Exons: 3
Source: RefSeq, a predicted model, not a curated record